UUUGGCAGUGGAACAACACUUGUUGUCACAGAUAAAAACCUUGAUGCAGAUGUUUCCCCCAAGCCCACUAUUUUUCUUCCUUCAAUUGCUGAAACAAAGCUCCAGAAGGCUGGAACAUACCUUUGUCUUCUUGAGAAAUUUUUCCCGGAUAUUAUUAAGAUACAUUGGCAAGAAAAGAAGAGCAACACGAUUCUGCGAUCCCAGGAGGGGAACACCAUGAAGACUAACGACACAUACAUGAAAUUUAGCUGGUUAACGGUGCCAGAAAAGUCACUGGACAAAGAACACAGAUGUAUUGUCAGACAUGAGAAUCAUAAAAACGGAGUUGAUCAAGAAAUUAUCUUUCCUCCAAUAAAGACAGAUGUCAUCACAAUGGAUCCCAAAGACAAUUGGUCAAAAGAUGCAAAUGAUACACUACUGCUGCAGCUCACAAACACCUCUGCAUAUUACAUGUACCUCCUCCUGCUCCUCAAGACUGUGGUCUAUUUUGCCAUCAUCACCUGCUGUCUGCUUAGAAGAAUGGCUUUCUGCUGCAAUGGAGAGAAAUCAUAACAGACGGUGGCACAAGGAGGCCAUCUUUUCCUCAUCGGUUAUUGUCCCUAGAAGUGUCUUCUGAGGAUCUAGUUGGGCUUUCUUUCUGGGUUUGGGCCAUUUCAGUUCUCAUGUGUGUACUAUUCUAUCAUUAUCGUAUAAUGGUUUUCAAACCAGUGGGCACACAGAGAACCUCACUCUGUAAUAACAAUGAGGAAUAGCCACGGCGAUCUCCAGCACCAAUCUGUCCAUGUUUUCCACAGCUCCUCCAGCCAACCCAAAUAGCGCCUGCUAUAGUGUAGACAGCCUGCGGCUUCUAGCCUUGUCCCUCUCUUAGUGUUCUUUAAUCAGAUAACUGCCUGGAAGCCUCUCAUUUUACAUGCCCUGAAGCAGUCUUCUUUACUAGUUGAAUUAUGUGGUGUGUUUUUCCGUAAUAAGCAAAAUAAAUUUAAAAAAAUGAAAAGUUGACUUUUGUCCAUGUGUAUUUUAAUUGGAUGACAUCAAAUUGAACAUCCAAGGUAAGAAACAGCAUGGCAAUUGGGCUGUGGAAUUCUGUAUUGGUUGUAAGAAUGGUCCAACACCCCAUUUCUAAUUCUUUCCCUGAGAUCGUGGUUAUCACACCUUCUAAGAGGAACUACAACCAAACGAAGGAGCCCAUGUGGCUUUUGUUUGAAAGGUCACCAGAGUCAGAUUCAUCUGGUUUAGGACAUUCCAGUGGCUUUAGGACACUAUCUACUGUGACGUGUACCGUGUGAGCUCAGCUCUAGAGUGUUUCGCAGACACUGUGUUUCCUGAUCCUCACGAUAUCCCCGUGAGAGCUGCCCUAACAGCAGAGAGGCAGCGUGAUAGAGAGGUUCAGCACAUGCUCUCUGAUCCCAGGAAUCCUGGGUAUGGUGUUUCGUAUCUGUGUGACCUCAGGUGAGUUCCAGGAAAUCUAUGUGCCAUAAUGUCCUCAUGUAAAAUGAAGUUAUAAUGCCCCAUUUCCUGAAGUUAUGUGGAUUAGAUGAGUUAAUGACACCUGGCACAUGCAAGUCCUCCACAGUAUCGGCACACACUGUUGGUGCUCUAGAGACAGUAAUAAACCAAAAAGUGUCUGACACAGGCCUCAAUCAACUUAGAAGUUUAUUUUGCCUAGGCUAAGGGCAUGAUCAGAAGAAAAUAACAUGGAAUCACAGAAACAGUCUAUGGUCUACACCUUUCUCCAAAGAUGAAAUUGAGGGCCUCAAUGUUUAAAAAUGGAAAGUGGGCUGGAGGGGAGAGAGGGAGGGUAUAACUAUCCACAUGUUGCAAGAGCAAGGGAGCAGGUAGGGGAACUGCCAAUUAUGUAUUCAUGUUGCGCUCAAUAAAUCAGCACUUUACAUAAGAUACGGUUAACAUAGAGUAGCUACCUCUGGAGCUAUUUCACCUUUCAUCUGUAGCUCUCUGUUUAGGCACAAAAGGAAAGGCAGCUUCUCACAUGACCCAGCUUUUGGCUUAUUUUUUUCUAAAACAUAGCAUGAUGAAUUGGGAUCCAGAGUUUUUCUUUUCCUUUCACAUAGUAGAUUCCACACAUAUGCAAAAGCACUAACAGUUAUCUCUACUCUCACCUCUCCGCAGAGAGGUUAGGUGGUGGGAAUAGGGACCCAGUGAGUGUCUACUAUGCACUAGGCAUCCAGAAAUCCUUGAUGAGCCAGUUGAGGUCAGUACAAUUAAGGCUCACAGUUCACAGAUGAGAAAGAUUAAAUUACCUACUCAAGGUCACUAUUUUUAAAGUAAUAGUCGUAAUUUAAAGCUAGGUCCCUCUGAACCCAGAGCCCAUAUAUUUAAACACACACACACACACACACACACACACACACACACACACAUUUAUCCAACAUCACGUCUUUCCUUUCACCGACUUUCAACUGUGGAAAACAAAACAAAACAUGCAUUGUUUCUUUACUAAAGGCGUCCUCACCAGAGUCAAUGAGAGCUUUCUUAAGGAAAUCAUGGUGCACCUAUGUUUUCUCCUUAUCUACACUCCAGGCCACUGGUUUGUCACUAAUUUCCCAUUUGUUUUUUCUCUUUGGGUAAAAUUGACCUACUCUGGAAUUACCAUUAUUGCUUCCUUGGCUGUAAAGAGUAUAGAAAUUCUACCCCUGUGAGUGUGUGUCCUAGAUCUGCAGCUGUUCUUUUUGGGGGUGCUAAUGGACUGUAAAUUUCAGGCACAGCAGGACGGUUCACGGUGCUCUCUGGGUAUGUAUAACAUUCUGACACCCUAGCUCCUUCCGGAGACUAAACAGGCUCAGAGCUCUGCAGAAUCACCUUGGAGGAGAUUCUGGAACACCCACGUGCAUUUCUGAGGUAGGAGGUAGAAGAAGGUUAUGCAUCGUUCUUGGUCCAGUACGUUUCCACCACGGCACAGCUACCACAUAUCGGGAGGUCACAUGGUGUGGGAGGAAUACUAGUCACACUUCACAGCUAGUUAGAGCCCUGGCCACUUGGUCUGGCUCUAACAAGCUGUACCAUUUGUUCUUUUCUUUUCCUUUUUUUGAGAUGGAGUCUCAUUCUGUUGCCUAGGCCGGAGUGCAGUGACAUGAUCUUGGCUCACUGCAAUCUCCACCUCCAGGUUCAAGUGAUUCUCCUGCCUCAGCUUCCCAAGUAGCUGGGAUUAUAGGUGCCCACCACCACACUCAGCUAACCUCAGUCCUGCCUUCAGGCAAUCCGCCCAACUCGGCCUCCCAAAGUGCUGGGAUUACAGGCUUCAGCCACCAUGACCGGCCACAAUUUUUUCUUAACCAUCCCACAUUGCCUAAGUUCAUCUGUCUUUAGAAGAAUGUGUUUAGAUUAAAUAAUUUCAGAUUUCUACCUAAAGUUACAAAUUCAGUGAUUACCACCCUGAGGAAGUAAUGAUAGCAAUCACAAAUACAGUGCCCACCAUGUACCCGGUCCUGGCUUAAGGACGUGUUCACUCAUUUAAUUCUCACAAAAAUUCUAUAUGUACAAUUAUCUCUGUUCUAUGGAUGGGGAAACUGAGGCAGAGGGGGCUAAAAAACUUUCGCAUAAUCAAACAGCUACUAAGAAACAGGGCUGGAAUUUGAACUCAAGCAGCCAGGCUCCAGGACCUCCGCUCUUACCUUCUAUGUUAUUUCCUCUUAGAGUGAAAACAGGUUACUUGUAGUUUCAAUUAACACAUGAAAAUGUCCUUCCUUAUUAGGCUAUGAAGUAGGAAGGAAAUUGCCUCUUUGGCUGUUCACAUUUCCCCUCCUUGCUCCAAUGCUGUUCAGAUAAUUAGAGGGUUAUAAGCCAACCUGCCAAUUUGUCAAUGCUGGGAAGACUUUUAUAUGCUGAGCUCCCAUCCAUCAUAUAGGACUUCUGUGAUUAAAGACCGAAGCACAUGGUUGGACAAAAUAAGUACCAGAACAGGCAGCGCCCACAGGUGUGCAAUGGAAAAAUUAGGCAAAGAUUUAUACAGUUCUACAUAAAAACACAUAUCUCAAUAGUCACUACAGAGUUAGCAUACUUCACACGCUUGUCAAAUAAAAAAGAAAAAAACUCCAAUAUGGUGACACCCUGUCUCUACUAAAAAUACAAAAAUUAGCCAGGUGUAGUGGCUUGUGCCUGUAGUCCCAGCUACUUGGGAGGCUGAGGCAGGAGAACCACUUGAACCCGGGAGGCGGAGGUUGCAGUGAGCCGAGAUCGCGCAACUGCAUUCCAGCCUAGGCGACAGAGCGAGACUCUGUCUCAAAAAAGAAAAAGAAAGAAAAAAAAAAAAAAAGGAAAAACUAUAUAUAAAAAAACUCCAUAUAUUUCUCAACUAUAAAAAAGUAAAACUUCAGUUCAACAGUUCUCAAAAUAUUUCUAAUUAUUUAUUUUUUCUACUGUUUUGGAAUUCCUUUCCUCAUAGAUUUUAUUUUUGAAGGUUUUUGGUCUUUCAAGAAGGUCACGAUUAAUGUUUUCCCCAUUAUACUAAUCAAAGUCCUAUAUAACUGCCAGUGAGAAAUUCUGAGUAAUAAGAGAUAACCAGAGACACUACACCAAUAUAAUUCAGCCAAACAGCUAGAAAUUCAAGAUUUUCAUUAGCCAUGAAAAGUUAUUUGAGUAGAUGCGUAGCUUGCACCAUGAUUUGUUAGGUUCUUUUUCAUUUAUUUGCUUUUUCUGUUGUGUUUGAGGAAUAGUGAGUACCAACCACUUACUGAGCAGCAGAAAUAUGGCUUGGCAGCUUGUGUCCUCUCUCUCUAAUGCUCUCAACUGCAUCACCUUACAGCCAUUAUGCUCGUUUCACUGAUAAGAAAACCAGAUCUCGAGGUUAAAAAAUAUGCCCAAUUAACCACUGAGUGAGUCCCAGAUUUCACAUGAUUCCAGGACUGUCUGACUUAAGACCUGCUGCCUUAUCCAUCCUACCAGGGGCUCUCCUUAUGGGAGCCUUUAUCACGGGCCAGGCAUCAGGACCUUGGAAAAUCCUCUUUUCAUAAUUCUAAUAUGCAGCCAGGGUGGAGGCCAGCGAGUGACUGAAAUAGUGCCUGAACUCCAGCUGUGCUCCACACAAGCCGUAAGGAAACAUCUCAGAGCUCACUACACACGGGUGGAACACACGCCACCUGGAAGGUGUUCUUAUCAUGGGACCCAUCUAUUUCCCAAGGAAAUGAAUGUGGUGUACCAAGAUUUAUGUGCAAGGAUGUUCAUUCACGAUAGUGUUAUUUCAAACAGCCCCAAAUUAACCCAGAUGAACAACCAGAAAUUCAUAAAUAGACAAAUAUGCAUCUUCCAAAAAGUAUAGAUUCUUUAACCCAUUUCCCGUUUAGAAAAAAGUGCAGCUCGCUGUUUUUACAUAAACACACUCUUUUGAGGCUGAAGCAAAUCUGACUGAUUUUCAACGUGAAAAUAAAAUGUCAAAUCUGUUCCUGGGCUGGGCGCAGUGGCUCACGCCUGUAAUACUAACAUUUUGGGAGGCUGAGGCGGGUGGACUGCCUGAGCUCAGGAGUUCGAGACCAGCCUGGGCAACACGGUGAAACCCCGUCUCUAUUAAAAUACAAAAAAUUAGCCGGGAGUGGCAGCGUGCACCUGUAGUCCCAGCUACUCAGGAGGCUGAGUCAGGACCAUCACUUGAACCCGGAGGCGGAACGGAGGUUGCAGUGAGCUGAGAUCACGCCACUGCACUCCAGCCUGGGCGACACAGUGAGACUCUCUCUCUCUUAAAAACAAAACAAAACAAAAACUGUUCUUGGAGUUACUUCUAAACCGAACUUCUCUCUAAUCCUAAUGUAACAUCAUGUACAUUUCUGUUGCAUUAGGAUUAGAAAUGAGUAUUCUUGGGGCAAAAAGGAAAUGGGUUAAAAACUGGAAAAUAAAUAGAUAUGGAGUUGAAAAAUAAUAUUCAUAGCAUAAAUCCUAUUGUGAGAUAAAUACAUUUGAACACUUACAUGGUUCGAAAACACUCCAAUUUUUAUUUAGUUAAAUAUGGAUGUACAUAUAUAAGUAUCCAUGUACAUGUAUAUAUGUUCUCAUUUCCCCUUUUUACACAGGGAGUAUAUAGCAUAUAUUAAUCUGCACAUCUCUUUCCAUUUAUAAAUCUUAAAGCUCUUUUUAUGUUUAUAUACAGGGGCACUUCACUACAGGUAUUUUUUUUUCUUUUUUUUGUUUUUGAGACAGAGUCUUGCUCUGUGGCCCAGGCUGGAGUGCAGUGGCUGAUCUCGGCUCACUACAACCUCUGCCUCCUGGGUUCAAAUGAUUCUCCUGCCUCAGCUUCCCGAGUAGCUGGGAUUACAGGCUCCCACCACCACGCCCAACUAAUUUUUGUGUUUUUAGUAGAGACAGGGUUUCACCAGGUUGGCCAGGCUGGUCCCGAACUUCUGACCUCAAGUGAUUCGCCCACCUCAGCCUCCCAAAGUGCUGGGAUUACAAGUGUGAGCCACUGUGCCCAGCUAAAUACAGAUAUUUUUCACUGGUGAACAUACUUUCAAUCGGUGCCUUGGUUUAGUACCAGUCUUUUGCUAUUAUAAAAAAUGCUGAAAUGAAUGAUAGUGUUUUAUGUCAUUUGAACAUAUAUAUGCACUGGUAAUUCUGAUGGGUACUGCCAAACUGCCCUCCAUAGAAAUAGCCCUAACCCCUUCUCCCACAAUGUGUGUGAGUGCUGACAGCAUACUGCUUAACGUUGGGUUUUGCUAAUUUGACAGGUAAAAAUAGUACUGCAUUGUGGUUUUAAUUUGCUUUUUUUCUUACUGUGAGUGAAGAUAAACAUCUUUUUAUGUUUAAGGUCUAUUUUAUAUUAUUCUGUGCCAUAUUUGUUCAUGUCCUUUGGCCAUUUUUUCUACUGAGUAAUAACACAAAUAGGCAUGCCAUUCAUUUAUAUGUGUGUCUGUGUAUUUCUGCAGACAAAGAUAAAACAAUGUUCAUUGUUGGUACAUGGGUGAAAAAAUAAGUGAUUGUGUGUUUUCUGUUUUCUCCGGUGAAUCCUUUUGAAGUAAACAUUUUUAUAUAUUAGAAUUAAAACAAUGUGUUACUGAACAUUGGGAAGGUUUUCUGGUUUGCCUACAAUCAGCUUGUUUCUGUGAAACAUGUUCUUUUGGAAACCAAGUAGAGAAUCCUACUUGUAAACAAAGCAAGACCAACCAGACUUAAGAAAGAUCAAAUUUAAUUUAGAUCUACUCCUUGAUUCUCAUGAAUUGAUUGAAUCUCUUUAGGGCAAAUACCUGGCCUCUAUAGAGAAAUCUGGAAUGAUUUCUGCACUGGGAGAGGAAACUUUCAGAUCACUAAGGGCUUUGUGGGGCUGAUAUCACCAGCCGAGGUACUGGGCAAUGUCUCCUGUGGUUUCACACUUCUUAGCGAUUUCCUUCCCCAACGCAAGCUGGGCUGCCCCGAACUUCAGCAAUGUAGAGAGAGAAUGCAGUGGUGGUGGUGGAGGAGGCAGAGUGGGUGGUGGGAGGGCGCUGAUGUGGCGGAUGGUGUUUUAUUUUCUCAGGCUUCUUUUGUUUACGUGCUCUGGCAAAUGUGGUUGAUUCAUGGAAAAUGCUCAAAGUCAAACCAGCCCCUACUGGUUGGGGCUGUGCAUGGGGUGGCUAGGGUGUUGUAAGACAAAACGAGGACAGUUAAACCACAACCAACUUUGCUCACUUUCAAGAGCCCACAGCUAAUGGAAAUAAAAUACCCAUUUUCACACAUACAAGAUUACUAUCAAACACACUCUCCACGCUGUGGGUAGGUGGGGCUCCCUGCAUUUGAUAUUCAAGGUUCAUUAGCUACUAGGUGAGUUGGGAAUCUGAUGCCCAGGACUGUUCAGACAUGGCACCUUCGGUCCACUCCCAUGACACUGUCCUGAAGACCAGAGGACAUCUUGCAGCACGGAGAUGAUCCUAACAUUCCACCCAGUAUCUGUACCUUCCAGAGGCACCUGAUUCAGAGACACUAAUACUUUUGGUUUCAUUUCCUCAGUGUAAACAGGGUGACACAAGACUCAUGAACCUAUUAGCACAGGUAGAACACAGAUGUGGGCAACAGUGAUGUGCUUUCUCCACAGGAAACCAGGGAUAUAGAAGCCCUGAGUUCAACGGUGUAAUGAAUGUCAUAAAUGGAAUCAUAUCAAGUCCCUCUACAGAGACAAAAUGAUUUCAGCAUCAACCAGAGCAAGGAUUACUAUAGGACAAUAACAUCAGAUAAAUGAGUGAUAAGGGUCCAUCAGAGGAUUGCUCAGCAAUGUGAGCAUAAAGGACAAAUGGCUCCACUCCUACCCCACCGAAACAUGGCAGAGUGGGUGCCCAUGCCCCUGGGCUGAAUCUAUGCAGUCCGAGGGGAAUAUAUAACUCAAUCGUUGAGAUAAUCACUGUAGGCUCCCACAGUCUGACUUCCUAGCAUAUUCAAAUACUAUACCUCAUUCCUCUUGGUCUGUGCUUAGAGAGGUAAGACUUCUCAGCCAGACUUGGCUUCCUCUGAGGACUGGCAACAUCCUACUGGUUCACCCAGCAUGUCUGGGGGUGAGAGCUCCUUCUCAGGUUAAAUUAACAACCUGAUUGGCAACUUAAGCAUCAUCUAUGAGGUUGGUGUAUAUGCAACUCCAAUCCUGAAACAGGAGAUUCUCACUCACGUAACACCAUUGAGUUCUAAGGUUUUAGUCUCAAGGCCAGACAUUUGAGACUUUCCUUGCCCCUUCUCCACUAUGAGACGCUCAUCCUGGUUAGACUCCAGCCUCCCAGCAAGCCUCCCUGUUGCACUGUUGAGAUCUGAUCCACUCUUAGAACAAGCACAGAUAGAAGUUGUAGGGAAAAGAAAGAGAGAUCAGACUGUCACUGUGUCUAUGUAGAAAGGAAAGACAUAAGAGACUCCAUUUUGAAAAAGACCUGUACUUUCAACAAUUGCUUUGCUGAGGUGUUGUUAAUUUGUAGCUUUGCCCCAGCCACUUUGACCCAACCUGGAGCUCACAAAAACACGUGUUGUAUAAAAUCAAGGUUUAAGGGAUCUAAGGCUGUGCAGGACGUGCCUUGUUAACAAAAUGUUUACAAGCAGUAUACUUGGUAAAAGUCAUUGCCAUUCUCUAGUCUCAAUAAACCAGGGGCACAAUGCAUUGUGGAAAGCCGCAGGGACCUCUGCCGUUGAAAGCGGGGUAUUGUCCAAGGUUUCUCCCCAUGUGAUAGUCUGAAAUAUGGCCUCGUGGGAUGAGAAAGACCUGACUGUCCCCCAGCCCGACACCCGUAAAGGGUCUGUGCUGAGGUGGAUUAGUAAAAGAGGGAAAGCCUCUUGCAGUUGAGAUGGAGGAAGGCCACUGUCUCCUGCUUGCCCCUGGGAACUGAAUGUCUCGGUAUAAAACCCGAUUGUACAUUUGUUCAAGUCUGAGAUAGGAGAAAAGCUGCCCUGUGGCAGGAGGUGAGACAUGUUUGCAGUAAUACUGCCUUGUUAUUCUUUACUCCACUGAGAUGUUUGGGUGGAGAGAAACAUAAAUCUGGCCUACGUGCACGUCCAGGCAUAGUACUUUCCCUUGAACUUAAUUAUGAUAUAGAUUCUUUUGCUCACGUUUUUUGUUGACCUUCUCCUUAUUAUCACCCUGCUCUCCUACUACAUUCCUUUUUGCUGAAAUAAUGAAAAUAAUAAUGAACAAAAACUGAAGAAACUCAGAGGCCGGUGCCGGUGCAGGUCCUUGGUGUGCUGAGCGCCGGUCCCCUGGGCCCACUAUUGUUUCUCUAUACUUUGUCUCUGUGUCUUAUUUCUUUUCUCAGUCUCUCGCCCCACCCGACCAGAAAUACCCACAGGUGUGGAGGGGCAGGCCACCCCUUCAGAAGUGACUUGAUAUGCACCAAAGGUCAGUUUCUACCCAAGCCAGCAUCAUCACCACUACAGGCAAUUAGGUUUUUCUUCAAUGACACAAUGAAUGAUGAAAGAAAACUAACAGACAUCCUGACUUCCCUUGAAUCAAGGGGAAUAUUCAUGUUUGAAAAAACAGCACACAGUAUAAUUUAGUUCAUUUUAAUUGAAAUUGGCUGAACGCAAAGGAAACAUGAUAUGAAUGGUUUAAGUCAUUUUGUGCAUUCAAAAUAAGAGUAUUUAGAACAUUUCAGAACAAUCAGAGAAAAACAUGAUUUCAUGAUAAAAAUAAUACAAAUGUCUGGUGACAUUUUACAUGUAUUCGCAAUUCCUUUCUUCCCCUUUUGCAAGUCCAACACUUCAGGCCAUACACAUAAUGCAAAACAAGAAAAAUAAAACUAGCCACAUUGACAUGUCAGAUUUUAUUACACUUUUUAAAACUGUACAAAGAGCACAUGUGCAUGAGUUAAAAAACAAGGGAAAUGUAGGGUGUUAAAAAAGAAAUACAAAAUAAAUCUGAGACAUGAAACAAAAAAAUUCCAUUCUGUGAAUUGAAAUAAAAAGGUAUCUUGCUUACUAAAAAAGUGUUACUUCAAUAUAUUAAGUCUUUUGAUUAGGAAUACAGCACAAGACUUUCUUCACCUAUUCGUUAACACAUCAGGCUCAGUCUCACUGAAGAGAGGAUGAAUCAUGACAUUACCUUACCAGCCACAGGCAGGCAACUAAAUGUGCAUGGAUAUGGUACAACGUCUGUGAGGUAUUACAAUAAAUAAAUCUUUAUUAGCUGUUCAAUAAAGCCAGCAGUGGACGUCACCAUUUCAACUUUACUGUCGACAGGGAGACUCCACUGCCUGCCUCUUUUUGCCUCGAUGACUUUCUGUGAGGGUUUUUCACACUUAGAAAAAGAGAGAAGACAAAAGUAUUUAAUAAAUAGCAUUAAAAGGCAAAAUGCCACGGUCACCUUACAUGUACAUAAAAGUCUGUGUGCUGAAGAGGGGCUGUGACAGACACACGAAGGACCAUGCGUGUGGUCACACUAGAAUUCAUGUUAAAAUAUUUCAGAAAAGGCUUAACUACGAGCAUGCCCACAUUUCUGCUUCGUGUCUACAUGACUGUGGUGGGGAGACGAGGCUGAGGUGUGCUGGGGGCUGAGGAGGCAGGCACUGGGGCUCCAUGCGCCGUGACCUUGGCUGCCUCUCCCACCCAGUCAGCUUCUAUCUCAGCUUCCCAAUGACUCACAAUCUGGCAGCUUUUUCCUUCUGUGGUUAAACUGUCAGGCAGAUUUGCUGCUACUACAAUUUACUUCAAUUGCCUUCUAUUUAUGAGGUUAAAAUGAUUUUCUCUGAUGACUUAAAGGGAUUUAACAAUGUGUUCCACUUUGGAGCCCAUUAAGCAUGACUGCUUUGGAUGUACAGCAGCUUUCAUCUCAGAGGCUCCAAAAUCCUUGAGAAAUGUCCCAGUGAGGGGCUGCAGUGGACCUGGUACCAGAAAGUGUGGGCCUGAGCCCCAACGCUGCCUCGUCUAGCUGUGCAACCUUGGAUAAGUGACCCAUUCUAUGUCUCUGCUGCUUCAAAUGUAAAAUGGAGGUGAUAACAGCACCUGUAUCUCACAGGACUGCUGUCCUCUUAACAUAGAUUAGUACCUGUCAUUAAAACAAUGACAUGUGACUGGCAUGUAGACAUUCUGGCUAAGUAAAUUAACAUAAAUUCAUCUCUAUUCUUUAGAAAUUUAGAAAUCUGAGGUAUUUUCAAACCUUAUAAAUGUAUACCUGUAUAAAAAAUGUUAAGACACUUGGCAUUAAUAAAAUGUGACUGAUAAAUUCAUGCAAGUAAGAUAAAUCUGGCUAUCCUUACACUCUUAUUCUUUGAAUUCUACUUUGACUCUACUCAAAGGAAAUCUCCAUACUUAACUACUUUGUUGUUAUGGUUUCAUUUCAAACACUUACUUUAACAAAAGUAGUACUCAUAGUUCUAAAAGUGGUUUCUCACUGUCCUGUUUUUCUUCAGCUUCUUCAGAUCCUACAUGGUGGAGAAGGGGACAAAGAAAAAGUAUUUCAUUCCAUUACAGUAACAAACUAUUUUAAAUAAAUAUGUUUAAAAUUAUAACAUAUACACAUAAAAACAUUAAACAUAUGUUUAAUCCUCAAGAGAUUUAGGUUAACUGCUAUUUGAAAGCUUUACUUUAUUUCUUGUAACAGGAAAACCUUUAAACAAUAAUCUAUCACUUACACUAAUCUGUCAAAAUGGAUUUCACUUAUGUACUAAGAAUAUUCAUGCAGACCAAUAACUAUUAUCAAUCACUAUUCUUCCUCCGCCUCUUUGCUGACAAGCUUGCAUAUAUUUUUUACAUGCAAAAAUGUUGAGCUUGGUACAAAUAAUUGAAUCUAGGUGUUUCUAACAAUGGCUGUGGCAGAUGAGCGAGAGAGCAGUGAGAGGGCACUGUGGCAGUGACCACGGUCUGGCCCUUCUGGAUCAAUGUCUCAUGAGCUUCAGGAUAUUCCUAGAUUUGACCUGGUCAUUCCACUCUGGAAUUCUUUCCUUAGGACAGACCUAUCCCUGAGGAAAUAAUGCUUAUUAUUCAUUAUGUAGAUUUUCUCUCUAAAAAUUAGAAAAGAAAGCAAAGUGUCUGAGAAUAGAAGAAAGGUUAAUACUGUAGUUCCAUAAAAUAUCUUGUAUCCACUUAAAAUUAUGGUUAUAUAGAGUUUAUAACAUGAAAAAUGCAUGCGCUGUAAGGUAAAAGCAAAUGUAUAGCAAAUAAAACUUUAAAUGCCAUGAGAUCACAUUUGAUAAAAUUAAAAACCAAAUAUAUGUGUGCAAACGAGAAAGAGUAGAAGAAAAUAACCACGUAACUUUUAUAUUUUUUUCUGGAUAUUUUAACAUUUCUACAAUAAACUUGAAUUGACUUUAUUAAUAAUUUUUAAAUUAUAUUUUUAAAAAGCAGAAUAUGAAUAAUAUAGGCAGCAUGGGCACAAUGAUGUGAGAUUAAACGCACAGACACACACACAGACACACACACACACACACACACCCCAAGAAGGAAACUAAACUGUCAAUACUGAUGUUACCAAAUAGUUUGAAGGAUACGUGAUUUCUAAUUUUUGUUCUUUCCACUUUUUUAAAUGCAUGGCUUUCAUAAUCAGGGAAGGGGAAUUAAAAAAAAAGCAGAGGAGGCCCUGAGAGAAGACCAAAGUAGGGGGUGAGAGAUGCCAUCAAUUCACACGUAAAAGCUGCAGCCUCUCUCAACUGCGCCUGAACCUUGUUAGAUAACAUACUUUAAAAAGGACAUUUUUUUUUUUCCCUAAGGAGAAUGUCUACCUGAAUUAUAGCCAAGAACAAAUUUGUUAUAGGGAAAGAAUGCCUGAUAAUCUGAAGAAAACAUUUUAACCUCAUAAAUGUCACACGGUUAGGUUGAAUUUGUAGUAAAAUGAAUAGGUAAAGACUUAACUGUUGAAGGCUUUACUUUCUACCCUAUUAACACACUGUCCAUCAUAGAGACAGGAGGUGGUGAACUGCCUGUCCUUACUGUGGAAGGAGGAUGAGGAAGAUGGUCACAUCAGAUCUUCCUGUUCCCAAGCUCACUUCAACCUGCUAGGCCAGUGGCACUGAAACCACAGUGAGUUGCCAUGUCUUGGAAUUAUUUGGGAGUCCUAAUUAAAGCUAAACCCUUAAUUAAAAUAUAACAAUAUGUCUUCUUUACAUAUUUUAAAAGGGACUUCUUGCUACGGCCAAGUGAAGAAGUCAAUAAAUCCUCUCCCUGAAAGGCACCCCCAAAAUGUGGCAAAAUGGGCAAAACUAGCCAUCUCACCACUGGAGAAAUGACCAAAAGCACACAACAACUGGAGAAAUGUUUAUGUUUGAAACACUGCAGAAUUCAGGGAAUAGCAGUUGUGUCUUGCCUGGAGCUGCCCCUGUUCUUCUCCAACCUCCCAGUACCCAGCUCAAUGGGCAUGGAGGUUCUGCUAGGGUGAGGCAGGCCAUGGGGACUGGCAGUAAAGCUACUCAGUUGAAGGGAGAUCGCUUAGUUUGGAGUGGGGAGCCACGCUCAUGCCCAGUGACACUGACAGUGAAGUGACAAAUUCAGAGGCAGGUGAGCAGAAAGGGCCAACUACUCUGGGAGGCUGAGUUGUGGUCACCACUGGGACAAGCAUAUGCCCAGCUGGUGUUGUCUCCAUGCACAGAGGAGACCCAAGAGAGCCCAAGCCAGCCAAUUAGCCUGAGCUCUAAGCAUACGCAGAGAGAGCAGGAAAGGACUUAGCAGAAAGUAAAAGCUGGGGAGGACUUGAAAAUGGCCUGAACGCUGAAGGUGCUAUCCAACCCAUGUACAUUUCUACCUGGCAGAGGAUGGAAGCCUUGAUCCAGGUAUUUGAGUGCAAUCCUCUGUGUAAUCACUAGCUAGGCUCUGCCUAAUCAGUAGGCUCUAGACAUGGGUAACUCCUAGGAAGCUAGGCUUAAAAAUAUAGGCAAGAAUUAAUGGACAAUAAAACAAAAAACUGAGAGAAAACAGAAGAAGUCACACAUCCUAGGGUGUAUAGAUUUCACAGAUUUAGCACAGCUAUAUAAAGAUAUAGCUCUUUACUAAACAAAUAAAGAGCAAGAACAGCAAUGUUUCAGGAAAAAAAUCAGAAUCCAGAGUUACUUUAUUUUCAGCAAAAUACUUUUCAUCAAAAAAAAAAAAAAAAACAA
This is a non-coding RNA of Pan troglodytes (chimpanzee), 14465 nucleotides long. The record is from the annotation of a RefSeq genome assembly. NCBI's taxonomy places the organism in Eukaryota, Metazoa, Chordata, Mammalia, Primates, Hominidae.